RNAcentral lists this ribosomal RNA (497 nucleotides) under uncultured bacterium. RNAcentral describes it as "partial 16S ribosomal RNA". It matches the Rfam family "Bacterial small subunit ribosomal RNA", at positions 28 to 507 of the family's 1533-position model. The record is from RNAcentral.
GAUGAACGCUGGCGGCGUGCCUAAUACAUGCAAGUCGAGCGAACAGACGAGGAGCUUGCUCCUCUGAUGUUAGCGGCGGACGGGUGAGUAACACGUGGAUAACCUACCUAUAAGACUGGGAUAACUUCGGGAAACCGGAGCUAAUACCGGAUAACAUGUUGAACCGCAUGGUUCAACAGUGAAAGACGGUCUUGCUGUCACUUAUAGAUGGAUCCGCGCCGCAUUAGCUAGUUGGUAAGGUACCGGCUUACCAAGGCAACGAUGCGUAGCCGACCUGAGAGGGUGAUCGGCCACACUGGAACUGAGACACGGUCCAGACUCCUACGGGAGGCAGCAGUAGGGAAUCUUCCGCAAAGGGCGAAAGCCUGACGGAGCAACGCCGCGUGAGUGAAGAAGGUCUUCGGAUCGUAAAACUCUGUUAUUAGGGAAGAACAAAUGUGUAAGUAACUAUGCACGUCUUGACGGUACCUAAUCAGAAAGCCACGGCUAACUACGUG